Small nuclear RNA from Dermacentor andersoni, 167 nucleotides. RefSeq annotates it as U1 spliceosomal RNA. The record is from RefSeq and is a predicted model, not a curated record. Lineage: Eukaryota; Metazoa; Arthropoda; Arachnida; Ixodida; Ixodidae.
ACACUUACCUGGUGCUGGGUUUGCGGUGAUCACAGAGGCCCCGCCCCGCCUCCGUGCGGAGGCUUCUGCAUUGCACUGCGGUUGUCUGAAGCCCGCCACUUCCCAAGUAGGGGUAGCUGGAGCAUGCACUUUUUGGUAGUGGGGCCGGGCGUGCGCGCCAUCCCCCA